RNAcentral lists this unclassified non-coding RNA (62 nucleotides) under Aromatoleum aromaticum EbN1. Its description in RNAcentral is "ssrZ". Lineage: Bacteria; Pseudomonadati; Pseudomonadota; Betaproteobacteria; Rhodocyclales; Rhodocyclaceae. The record is from RNAcentral.
AUGGUUGUAAUUCCGGCAACCCGGAGACGUUCUGGACGCGGGUUCGAUUCCCGCCACCUCCA